GUCUACGGCCAUACCACCCUGAACGAGCCCAAUCCUGUCUGAUCUCGGAAGCUAAGCAGGGUCGGGCCUGGUUAGUACUUGGAUGGGAGACCGCCUAGGAAGACCAGAUGCUGUAGGCG
Molecule: ribosomal RNA, 119 nt
Filed under: Pteropus alecto (black flying fox)
Lineage: Eukaryota; Metazoa; Chordata; Mammalia; Chiroptera; Pteropodidae
Source: RNAcentral